AGCGACUGCGUGUCACCACCAAUCAUACUUACGGUCUUCUUUUUUGCUUGACAAAACCAUCACCAUGGAUACGCCAGAUCUAGGCCACAAGAAGUGGGUCAGGAACGAUGGAUGGAGCGAAAUGUGUUGAUGCGGAUCAUUUUCCCCUACUUUCCCACAUGGCGUGUGGAUGGAGAGAAUGAUCUCACUGCUGUCCUGGCAUCUCUCAUACCUCAGCUACUGCCUUCCUCCCUCCAGCGCAGCUAGAGGACCCAGACAGCUCGACCUUUAUGAACCGUUAAUUAACAAGUCAAAAUAUAUCCCAUGAAAAAAACGCCACUGCUUUACGGCAAAGCUAACGCUGGAUGACCCAGACUUGAAAAGCCCAGGGAUAGACGGCUCAAAGAUGAAAGCAUUGUGACGGUCAACCAGGGCAGGGAUAAAUGAUGAGUUGGCAGAAAAGGCCUGGAGAAGGCUUCCUUAUGCAACACAGCGGACUGAGUGGCAUGGACUGGUAAAGGUUAAAUAUAUCCAGUCAAGUGUCACAAAAUCCAACUUGAUUGUUUCACUGUGACCUGGUUUUGUGAUUCAUCCUUUUUUAAACCAAGUUUUAUUCUGAAAGCAAAUUCAAACUUGGUUUAAACAAGGAUGAACAACAAAAUAAGUUAAAUUUGAUUUCAGCUCCCUUCCACUCUUUUAAACAGUAAGAUUUAAGCCAGAGGGUAUUUCUCACGGUGCAUUUCAUAUAUGCAUAUGUACAUUGCAGAUGCUAUUAAGUUUUGUGUUCUGCCAAAGACUGGUGAGUCAGUGGUGCAGCUCUGUACAUUUGAGUAUGCAUGCAGCAUACUGUUGUUCAGCAUUGAGCAAAUGUGCAUUAGUGCACUUUCCAGA
This 870-nucleotide long non-coding RNA is filed under the name Salmo salar (Atlantic salmon). RNAcentral's name for it is "lncRNA (ENSSSAG00000097392.1, ENSSSAG00000104732.1, ENSSSAG00020069530.1, ENSSSAG00075014448.1)". Lineage: Eukaryota; Metazoa; Chordata; Actinopteri; Salmoniformes; Salmonidae. The record is from RNAcentral.